GACGAACGCUGGCGGCGUGCCUAAUACAUGCAAGUCGAACGCAGUGGGGACGGGUGAGUAACACGUGGGUAACCUCCCAUCAGAGGGGAUAACACUUGGAAACAGGUGCUAAACCGAUACUGAUGGAUGAACCCGCGGUGCAUGAGCUAGUUGGUGAGGUAACGGCUCACCAAGGCCACGAUGCAUAGACGACCGGAUAGGUUGAUCGGGCACGCUGGGACUGAGCCACGGCACAGACUACUACGGGAGGAAGCAGUAGGGAAUCUUCGGCAAUGGACGAAAGUCUGACCGAGGAACGUCGAGUGAGUGAAGAAGGUUUUCGGAUCGUAAAACUCUGUGGUUAGAGAAGCGGUAUCUAACCAGAAAGCCACGGCUAACUACGUGCCAGCAGCCGCGGUAAUUC
Molecule: ribosomal RNA, 403 nt
Filed under: uncultured bacterium
Lineage: Bacteria
Description: partial 16S ribosomal RNA
Rfam family: Bacterial small subunit ribosomal RNA
Source: RNAcentral